GUUAGGGAGGCCUGGAGCCCAAGGCCGAGUGUCACGGCGGUCCAGGUCACAAAAAUACCAAGAAGAGGCACAGAGGAGGUGAGGCUGUGAUGGUCCCCGUGUAGGGACUGGUGUCAUCUAGAUAUUUGCAGACCUCAAAUAUUGUUUCAACAGCACUAUGGAUUUUGGAAAUUUAUAACAUGUUUGAUAAUAAUGUGUUUGACUUUUAAUAUUGACCACAGUGUAGUACCUUGCAAAAUAUAAACACAUAAUAGGGACAACAUUCUUCACAUUAAUAGGUAGACUUAAAAUAUGCAAAGUUCCUUCCAAACCAUGACUUUGCUGAAGAAACUACAUCUUAGAAAGGCUACCUGACUUGCCCAUAAUUUCACCAGAAGUAAGGGGUUGGCAGGGACCUAUGGUGGAUGAAAAUCUGCCCAAGGCCUCGCUGAACUGCCCACUCACGCAGUGGUCAGGAAGAUGCUCUGCUCUCCCCGGGAGACAUCACCAAAGACACGAGAGGAAACUCUGGCCCAAGCUCACCUGAUGCUCAGAAUAACAGAAUUGAGACUCUAAGCCAGUGAAGGUGGCUGACCUGGGGCCUGUACAGGCCAACUGCUCAUCCCUACUGAUAUUCUCACCUCACCUUUUCAGUGUGGGCUGACCUGGAGACAGGAUCCUGCCACUCCCUGACCUUCAUAAAGGCCCUUCAAGUUUGCCGUGUAGUUGGUGAUUAUAUUGUUUGGAUCCUGUGAAUGGAUGUUCUUAAAUUUUUGUAAUUAGCCAUCAUUACUCUUGGGUUUGAUUCCUUCUGAAAAAAACAUAUCUGGAAGGGAGAAUGUCAUCAGAAUGGGAAGUAGUAAACAUCUGCAUUGAGAGUUAGCAAGAUAAACAAUGGCUUCCUUGUGUGUAUCCUCCACCUCGCCUUGGCCUUUAUUGUACGAGCCCCAGGGAUCCUCGACAAGCCCCGUCCCUCGAGCAUCCCUGGGAGAGUUGGUCCAGUCCAGGCUACAGAUCCCACCUUGGAGCUGACGUCCCCUCACCUCCCCUUUCCCGCCAG
This 1039-nucleotide long non-coding RNA is filed under the name Equus caballus (horse). RNAcentral describes it as "lncRNA (ENSECAG00000043884.1)". The record is from RNAcentral. Lineage: Eukaryota; Metazoa; Chordata; Mammalia; Perissodactyla; Equidae.